Molecule: ribosomal RNA, 473 nt
Filed under: uncultured bacterium
Lineage: Bacteria
Description: bacterial SSU rRNA
Rfam family: Bacterial small subunit ribosomal RNA
Source: RNAcentral
GGGGCCCGCACAAGCGUGGAGCAUGUGGUUAAUUGAGCAACGCGCAGAACCUUACCAGGAUUUGACAUGGGGAGGACCGGUACAGAGAUGUAUUUUUCCCGCAAGGGACCUUCCGCACAGGUGCUGCAUGGCUGUCGUCAGCUCGUGUCGUGAGAUGUUGGGUUAAGUCCCGCAACGAGCGCAACCCUCGCCUUUAGUUGCCAUCAUUUAGUUGGGCACUCUAGAGGAACUGCUGGUGACAAGCCGGAGGAAGGUGGGGAUGACGUCAAGUCCUCAUGGCCCUUAUGUCCUGGGCUACACACGCGCUACAAUGGUGGUGACAGUGGGAAGCUAGGCGGUGACGCCGUGCUGAUCUCUAAAAGCCAUCUCAGUUCGGAUUGUACUCUGCAACUCGAGUACAUGAAGGUGGAAUCGCUAGUAAUCGUGGAUCAGCAUGCCACGGUGAAUACGUUCCCGGGCCUUGUACACUCCGC